UACCAGCACCCCGAGUGGUCGGGACGAUUAUUGGGCCUAAAGCAUCCGUAGCCGGUUUUACAAGUCCCCCGUUAAAUCCAGCUGCUUAACAGAUGGGCUGCGGAGGAUACUAUAAGACUAGGAGGCAGGAGAGGCAAGCGGUACCCAGUGGGUAGGGGUAAAAUCCGUUGAUCCAUUGAAGACCACCAGUGGCGAAGGCGGCUUGCCAGAAUGCGCUCGACGGUGAGGGAUGAAAGCUGGGGGAGCAAACCGG
Molecule: ribosomal RNA, 253 nt
Filed under: uncultured bacterium
Lineage: Bacteria
Description: partial 16S ribosomal RNA
Rfam family: Archaeal small subunit ribosomal RNA
Source: RNAcentral